This 460-nucleotide ribosomal RNA is filed under the name uncultured bacterium. RNAcentral's name for it is "partial 16S ribosomal RNA". It matches the Rfam family "Bacterial small subunit ribosomal RNA", at positions 338 to 795 of the family's 1533-position model. The record is from RNAcentral.
CCUACGGGUGGCAGCAGUGAGGAAUAUUGGUCAAUGGGCGUAAGCCUGAACCAGCCAAGUCGCGUGAGGGAUGAAGGUUCUAUGGAUCGUAAACCUCUUUUAUCAGGGAAUAAAGUGUGGGACGUGUCCUAUUUUGUAUGUACCUUAUGAAUAAGGAUCGGCUAACUCCGUGCCAGCAGCCGCGGUAAUACGGAGGAUCCGAGCGUUAUCCGGAUUUAUUGGGUUUAAAGGGUGCGUAGGCGGCCUUUUACGUCAGCGGUGAAAGUCUGUGGCUCACCCAUAGAAUUGCCGUUGAAACUGGGGGGCUUGAGUAUGUUUGAGGCAGGCGGAAUGCGUGGUGUAGCGGUGAAAUGCUUAGAUAGCACGCAGAACCCCGAUUGCGUAGGCAGCCUGCCAAGCCAUGACUGACGCUGAUGCACGAAAGCGUGGGGAUCAAACAGGAUUAGAUACCCCAGUAGUC